GCUUGAGGGGCCGUGGCGGCGCUGGGAACCACCCCCUCCCCCCAAAAAAUCCCCCCCCUCCCCAGGGGAGAAGGCGCCGAAGCCCAAGAAGGCGGCGCCGGUGGGGAAGAAGAAGAGGAAGAAGAAGGGCUCCGAGGACGAGGCCUUCGAGGACAGUGACGACGGGGACUUUGAGGGGCAGGAGGUGGAUUACAUGUCCGACGCCUCCAGCAGCUCGCUGGAGGAAGAGGUGGGGAAGCCCAAGGUGACGAAGGAGGACGAUGGACCCAAAGGCAUCGACGAGGCGAGCGAGAGCAGCGAGGAGAGCGAGGAGGAGAAGGCGGCGGAGGAGAAGGAGGAGGAGGAGGAGGAGAAGAAGGCCCCGACGCCGCAGGAGAAGAAGAAAAAGAAGGACAGCAGCGACGAGUCGCAGACCUCGGAGGAGAGCGACAUCGACAGCGAGACCUCCUCCGCCCUCUUCAUGGCGAAGAAGAAGACCCCCCCGAAGAGGGAGCGCAGGGGCUCGGCCAGCAGCUCGAGGGGCAACAGCCGCCCGGGGACGCCCACGGAGCCCGGCAGCACCAGCUCCACGCUGCGGGCGGCCGCCUGCAAACUGGAGCAAGGUGGGACACGGGGGGGUUAGUUCUGAGACACCCCCUCCCCUUCCGACCCCAGGGGUUAUUUGGGGACGCUCCUGGGGGUUUGGGGCAAAUCUGUAGGGUCUUGGGGGCAGAU
This 714-nucleotide long non-coding RNA is filed under the name Calidris pygmaea (Spoon-billed sandpiper). RNAcentral's name for it is "lncRNA (ENSCPGG00000017160.1)". The record is from RNAcentral. Lineage: Eukaryota; Metazoa; Chordata; Aves; Charadriiformes; Scolopacidae.